Molecule: ribosomal RNA, 254 nt
Filed under: uncultured bacterium
Lineage: Bacteria
Description: partial 16S ribosomal RNA
Rfam family: Bacterial small subunit ribosomal RNA
Source: RNAcentral
UACGGGGGGAGCAAGCGUUGUUCGGAUUUACUGGGCGUAAAGGGCGCGUAGGCGGCCACCGCAAGUCGACUGUGAAAUCUCCGGGCUUAACCCGGAAAGGUCAGCCGAUACUGCGGGGCUAGAGUGCAGAAGGGGCAACUGGAAUUCUCGGUGUAGCGGUGAAAUGCGUAGAUAUCGAGAGGAACACCUGCGGCGAAGGCGGGUUGCUGGGCUGACACUGACGCUGAGACGCGAAAGCUAGGGGAGCGAACGGG